RNAcentral lists this ribosomal RNA (253 nucleotides) under uncultured bacterium. RNAcentral describes it as "partial 16S ribosomal RNA". It matches the Rfam family "Bacterial small subunit ribosomal RNA", at positions 524 to 776 of the family's 1533-position model. The record is from RNAcentral.
UACGGAGGGUGCAAGCGUUAUCCGGAUUCACUGGGUUUAAAGGGUGCGUAGGCGGGCAAGUAAGUCAGUGGUGAAAUCUCCGGGCUUAACCUGGAAACUGCCGUUGAUACUAUUUGUCUUGAAUGUCGUGGAGGUAGGCGGAAUAUGUCAUGUAGCGGUGAAAUGCUUAGAUAUGACAUAGAACACCAAUUGCGAAGGCAGCUUACUACACGAUGAUUGACGCUGAGGCACGAAAGCGUGGGGAUCAAACAGG